GUGUGCCAUUACAAAAAAAACUUAAUUUCUUAUCAAAUUUUUCAAAUGGUCAACUUUUUAGGGUAAAGUAAAGCAUAGUGUUCAAGACUGUAAUAUAAGUAGUUUUUAUGUGUUUCCCUCAGUUUUAGUUUAUAACCCAGAUUUGUUUUCUCUAAAUCAAUUUAUGACUUUCGAACAGCAGUAUACUACUGUUGCUUUUAUUUAGGGUGUUACAAUUUUCAUCAUUGUGAAAAUUAUCAGAGAAAUAAUAUUAACGAACAAUAGCCAUUCUUGAAAAUAGAAUAUGUUGGUAAAUAUUUGUUUCUUCUUUAAACUGUAAAUUGGC
Molecule: long non-coding RNA, 325 nt
Filed under: Mytilus galloprovincialis (Mediterranean mussel)
Lineage: Eukaryota; Metazoa; Mollusca; Bivalvia; Mytilida; Mytilidae
Source: RNAcentral